RNAcentral lists this long non-coding RNA (382 nucleotides) under Vigna radiata. RNAcentral's name for it is "long non-coding RNA (VRAD_LNC004631)". Lineage: Eukaryota; Viridiplantae; Streptophyta; Magnoliopsida; Fabales; Fabaceae. The record is from RNAcentral.
CUUACUUGGCUUGUAGUGUCAUCAGUAGCAACCGUCAAACAUAGGUUUGCUUUUUCAACAGAAUCACUUGAACUACAAGUGCUUGAUGCGAUAUCCUCCCAAGCAAUGUAGGCCUUCUUCUUUUUGUGAGAUUUCUUUGCUUUUUUUUCUUUAUUUCUUUUGUUGCUUGAACAAUCAGCUUUCACAUGGCCUCUUUCACCACAUCCAUAACAUUUGAAGCUUGAAGCGGAUCCUUGAUUGUUCUCCUUCUUCUUCUUCUUCUUCUUCAAGAUUUGGCUUUCACUUUUUGCCAUUAAGCAUAUAUUUUCUUGCUCAUUAAAAUCACUUGAGCUUGAUGUAGAGCUUGAAUCACACGGUGUCAACUUAUCUACAUCUAUGACUU